GAUGAACGCUGGCGGCGUACCUAAUACAUGCAAGUCGAGCGAACAGACGAGGAGCUUGCUCCUCUGACGUUAGCGGCGGACGGGUGAGUAACACGUGGAUAACCUACCUAUAAGACUGGGAUAACUUCGGGAAACCGGAGCUAAUACCGGAUAAUAUAUUGAACCGCAUGGUUCAAUAGUGAAAGACGGUUUUGCUGUCACUUAUAGAUGGAUCCGCGCCGCAUUAGCUAGUUGGUAAGGUAACGGCUUACCAAGGCAACGAUGCGUAGCCGACCUGAGAGGGUGAUCGGCCACACUGGAACUGAGACACGGUCCAGACUCCUACGGGAGGCAGCAGUAGGGAAUCUUCCGCAAUGGGCGAAAGCCUGACGGGGCAACGCCGCGUGAGUGAUGAAGGUCUUCGGAUCGUAAAACUCUGUUAUUAGGGAAGAACAAAUGUGUAAGUAACUAUGCACGUCUUGACGGUACCUAAUCAGAAAGCCACGGCUAACUACGUG
Molecule: ribosomal RNA, 497 nt
Filed under: uncultured bacterium
Lineage: Bacteria
Description: partial 16S ribosomal RNA
Rfam family: Bacterial small subunit ribosomal RNA
Source: RNAcentral